This 253-nucleotide ribosomal RNA is filed under the name uncultured bacterium. Its description in RNAcentral is "partial 16S ribosomal RNA". It matches the Rfam family "Bacterial small subunit ribosomal RNA", at positions 524 to 776 of the family's 1533-position model. The record is from RNAcentral.
UACGGGGGGGGCAAGCGUUGUUCGGAAUUACUGGGCGUAAAGGGCUCGUAGGUGGCCAACUAAGUCAGACGUGAAAUCCCCCGGCUUAACCGGGGAACUGCGUCUGAUACUGGAUGGCUUGAGUUUGGGAGAGGGAUGCGGAAUUCCAGGUGUAGCGGUGAAAUGCGUAGAUAUCUGGAGGAACACCGGUGGCGAAGGCGGCAUCCUGGACCAAUUCUGACACUGAGGAGCGAAAGCCAGGGGAGCAAACGGG